This 1551-nucleotide ribosomal RNA is filed under the name Salmonella enterica subsp. enterica serovar Edinburgh. RNAcentral describes it as "bacterial LSU rRNA". It matches the Rfam family "Bacterial large subunit ribosomal RNA", at positions 1278 to 2812 of the family's 2925-position model. The record is from RNAcentral. Lineage: Bacteria; Pseudomonadati; Pseudomonadota; Gammaproteobacteria; Enterobacterales; Enterobacteriaceae.
GGUAUCAGAAGUGCGAAUGCUGACAUAAGUAACGAUAAAGCGGGUGAAAAGCCCGCUCGCCGGAAGACCAAGGGUUCCUGUCCAACGUUAAUCGGGGCAGGGUGAGUCGACCCCUAAGGCGAGGCCGAAAGGCGUAGUCGAUGGGAAACGGGUUAAUAUUCCCGUACUUGGUGUUACUGCGAAGGGGGGACGGAGAAGGCUAUGUUGGCCGGGCGACGGUUGUCCCGGUUUAAGCGUGUAGGUGUGUGUUCCAGGUAAAUCCGGUUCACUUUAACACUGAGGCGUGAUGACGAGGCACUACGGUGCUGAAGCAACAAAUGCCCUGCUUCCAGGAAAAGCCUCUAAGCAUCAGGUAACAUCAAAUCGUACCCCAAACCGACACAGGUGGUCAGGUAGAGAAUACCAAGGCGCUUGAGAGAACUCGGGUGAAGGAACUAGGCAAAAUGGUGCCGUAACUUCGGGAGAAGGCACGCUGACAUGUAGGUGAAGUGAUUUACUCAUGGAGCUGAAGUCAGUCGAAGAUACCAGCUGGCUGCAACUGUUUAUUAAAAACACAGCACUGUGCAAACACGAAAGUGGACGUAUACGGUGUGACGCCUGCCCGGUGCCGGAAGGUUAAUUGAUGGGGUCAGCGCAAGCGAAGCUCCUGAUCGAAGCCCCGGUAAACGGCGGCCGUAACUAUAACGGUCCUAAGGUAGCGAAAUUCCUUGUCGGGUAAGUUCCGACCUGCACGAAUGGCGUAAUGAUGGCCAGGCUGUCUCCACCCGAGACUCAGUGAAAUUGAACUCGCUGUGAAGAUGCAGUGUACCCGCGGCAAGACGGAAAGACCCCGUGAACCUUUACUAUAGCUUGACACUGAACAUUGAGCCUUGAUGUGUAGGAUAGGUGGGAGGCUUUGAAGUGUGGACGCCAGUCUGCAUGGAGCCGGCCUUGAAAUACCACCCUUUAAUGUUUGAUGUUCUAACGUGGACCCGUGAUCCGGGUUGCGGACAGUGUCUGGUGGGUAGUUUGACUGGGGCGGUCUCCUCCUAAAGAGUAACGGAGGAGCACGAAGGUUGGCUAAUCCUGGUCGGACAUCAGGAGGUUAGUGCAAUGGCAUAAGCCAGCUUGACUGCGAGCGUGACGGCGCGAGCAGGUGCGAAAGCAGGUCAUAGUGAUCCGGUGGUUCUGAAUGGAAGGGCCAUCGCUCAACGGAUAAAAGGUACUCCGGGGAUAACAGGCUGAUACCGCCCAAGAGUUCAUAUCGACGGCGGUGUUUGGCACCUCGAUGUCGGCUCAUCACAUCCUGGGGCUGAAGUAGGUCCCAAGGGUAUGGCUGUUCGCCAUUUAAAGUGGUACGCGAGCUGGGUUUAGAACGUCGUGAGACAGUUCGGUCCCUAUCUGCCGUGGGCGCUGGAGAACUGAGGGGGGCUGCUCCUAGUACGAGAGGACCGGAGUGGACGCAUCACUGGUGUUCGGGUUGUCAUGCCAAUGGCACUGCCCGGUAGCUAAAUGCGGAAGAGAUAAGUGCUGAAAGCAUCUAAGCACGAAACUUGCCCCGAGAUGAGUUCU